Molecule: long non-coding RNA, 4009 nt
Organism: Neopsephotus bourkii (Bourke's parrot)
Lineage: Eukaryota; Metazoa; Chordata; Aves; Psittaciformes; Psittacidae
Exons: 3
Source: RefSeq, a predicted model, not a curated record
CACACAAGAGGUCCAUGGCACAGCAAGGAGCACGAGUGCUGCUUUUUUAUUCCUUGGACCGACAUUUAAUGUUACAGGGUUGCUUUUCCAGCUGGGAGUGACCUCAGCCAGAGCUUGGCUUCACCAGAGCAGAGUUAGUGCUUAGUGUCUUCAUCCACAGUGAUUCCAGCUGCAGACAUGGAGAGGGGGGGAAUGGAGCUGAGAUCAUGUCAAGUGAUCAUUGCAGGAAAAAAGAGACUGAAAGCACGUCCAUUUCUGCCUCCUGUCUGUGAUGUUCCAGCUGUCCAUGAAUAACCGGGUGGCUGCUGAGAAUAGCAGGAUGAUGACUGUCAUCUCUGCUGGUCUCUGCCAAGGCAGGGGAGAAAAUGACAAGCAGAAACACCAAGUAUAUGGCAAGAGCCAUUGCAUGAAUCGAGAGGGAGGAGUGGUUCUAGUCACCAAAGCUCAGCACUCCAUGGCAGAGGUAACAAAGCAAGAGGUUUAGUAAGCAUAAUUACUUUGCUCUGUGGAAACAUGCCUGAAACAACUGAAGAAGCACUGGAGUUGAGGUGUUUCUGCAAUCAUCUCCAUAAUUCCUGAAUCCCAAGAGAUGUGUUCAGGUUUUUGAGGCUCAUUCUGCUUCUGGCUCCGAGUAAGGAGAACACUCAAAUCCAUCCCUCUCAGCCAGCACUGCUGCUGCAUUUCACCUCCCUCAGACCAGAUGCAAUGGUGGGGACAAGUCUAAAAGCCAGAGCAGCCUCAAUGUUGCCCAGGUUCAGCAUCCUUGCAGCUGCAAAGCUGAAGUUCAAAGGUCUCUCUCUUUGCUUGGUGCACGCUGUGUUAAUUUGUCAAGUUUUAUCCGUUCCUGCUCCGCAGCAGCUGCAGCGUGUGAAUCCCUCCUGCUCCGCCAGCCCGCGGCUGGAAACGCACCCAGAGCAGCGCUCCGCAGCCUUUCUCAUGUAAAUGUUUGCUGGGGGGCCGCUAAUUAUCUCCCAAACCCAACUGAAGGCCCUUCAAUUGCUUUAACAGUCUGCAGUUCCAUGCCUUUGACAGCCCCAGCCAUGCCCGGCUUGUUCUGGCAUUCCUGGGCUCCUCACAUGGAUUUCUACUGUCAAACUGUGCCUUUUGUUAUCACUUACCAUCAGUCAGUGGCACUUCAGAUGAAGUAAUUUCCUUUUUGUUUCCUUGCUCGGUCCCUGCUGGUCAAUGCGGGAUGAGAUCACCUGAAUCUUAUUUGCGGGGACAAAGGGAAAGCUGGCAACCUCUCCAUAGGGCUUUUUCCCCCUCUUUGACCAGGGUGGGAGUUGUGCAGAACAAUGAACAUUCAUUUGCUAAGUGAUUUUGCAAGCAUGUUCUCAAGAAAUGCAAAUACUCCAGAACUGUGAUGGAGUUGUUUUCUACCCUUCAUCUAACCUUAGCCCCUGACCCUGCAGUUCUAUGUGCACGUUUCAGCCUCAGCUCAUGCUAAGGCAAUUGAAAGACUGCAUGCCUGAAGCUCAGCGUAUCUGCAAACCUCUCUAAGGUGGAGGUGCUAAGAUACAAGAGACCUUAAGCUUUUUGAAAACGCUGUUGUAUCUCAGCUUAAAAUAGAGACUGUUUAAACCUCUUGAGGUGUGUGCAAGGGAAUUUCAGUUGGAGGCAAGGAGCUUGAGAAUACAACUGUCUCCACAGAUAAAGUGGCUCUCUGAUGUUUGCCUUCCGCUAAGAUAACCUAAGGAAGCUGACGCCUCCAGGACUGUAUUGUUUCACAUCAUACCAUGUUCUGGCAGAGCAAAGGUGAUAGUAAAGGUGUUGAUUUAUGAAGUGGUGGCUGAGCUCCCAACCAGAAGCAGCAGAGAUGUUUUGCAUUUGAAAUACGACAGCUCAGAAGCAUGUGGUCUGUCUGGAGCCCAUGCGUGUGCUGGAUUUCUGGAGCCUGGUCAAAGUCACCCACUGAUUUGGGGAUGUUGAAUGGGUUUCUCUUGCUUCUCCCCAGCUGCCUGCCUCUCACUGUAGGCAGAGGGGCAACAAGACCUUCCUCCUGUUGGGUUUUGAAUGAAGUUGGCCAGUACAUUCAGUAAUGAUUAAGGGAGGCAAAUGUGCAUACGCUUCCCCUAGAAAAUGAAGCGAAAAGUGGAAUUAAUCUUUCCCAAACAGUUAAUGGACUUCAAAGAACAAACCCUCUUCAGGGCUUAGACUGUGGAAGAGAUUGGCAAGGGAUGGUGAGAAGGGAUAAAUUUAGCAGGAUGGGACAAGCCAAUCUGAAGACCCCCUCUCACAUCACAAAUGUAGUCCCAUGAGGUCAUUCAGUGGGAGAGCCUCUGCUUAAUUCCAGCAUAAUUGCUGCUCUGGGUGCAGUUCUCCUGCCUUCUGAAGAUGUCUUGAUGCUGGCCAGUGGAAAACUGCUCUAAACAUGGGGUUUUUAAGGUAUCAGACCAAGCCAAGGGCAAUGCACCACGGAGGCAUGAGUAUGAUUGGAGUCCACUAAGAUGCAGGGAUGAGAAAACACAUUAUCUUAUUCCCUCAAGUAGGGAGAAUUAACUGCAUGUAAACAUGGGCAUUGCAAGUCCUGGAAAUAGUCACUAGGACAGCACAGCAGCAAAUGCAGAUAUAAUUUAACCCUUCUCCUUUUAUCCUUCAUGCUUCAGAGCUGCAGUGGUCACCAUGUCAGAGGUGCAAAAUAUUGGAGUGGCUUAGGAAUGACCUUUCAUAAUACUGGAAAAAUUUCCUUGAAAAUUCAAUAUUAGAAGAUUAUGAUGCAGAAAUUAGGAUUUAAGGAAGAAUUUUAAACUUGAUAGGAAUGAAAAACUCAUCCAAGGACCUGGAUAAAUUAUAGCUAAUCAGAUUUAUGGUGGAUAAUUGCUUUAGGAAAUCAAGUGUGUGCAAGGGGAACAUCCAGGAGGCAGGUAUGGGAGCUUCUUUAGCCGGUGGGUGACUGCCCAGCUUGUGCAGAAAGAAAUUCAAAGGGGAGGAAUGGCCAGGGCUGCCCAAGGGCAGGAGCAAGAGGAUCCCAGCAUCACUGCCCAAAGCACCAUGCGGCCCCAGCCAGGGUUGAGGAUGCUGCAGGUGCCACCUGCAAGGCACCGGCUCAGGCUUCAGAGCUGCUGCAUUAAUAACAUCACCCUUGUUCAAGGUUAUGGUGUGAGUUGAUUGCUCCUGAUUAGGGAUUUGUAUUCACUUGUGAGAGCCUGCAAUUUUUAUUACCUUUAUGGUAAUAACUGCAAAUAAUAAAAUGACAAACUAUUGUAAUUAAACUUUAAUUAAUUACAAACCCAUUACUUUUAAGUUUAUUCACGGUAAGGACAAUGAUACUGAAAACAAUUCAUUAAAGCACUUGAUAUGUAAAUUGUGAAGGAAAGCAUUAAUAUUGGGUAGCUCAUGUAUUUACUUUCUGCAGAGCAGUAGAGAAUUUGCUUAAGGAAAGGCAGCCCCCCUGGAUGAUUUUAACUGCUUGCUUUAGGGAGCAGUGAAACACCGGAUACUCUCAAGGUGAAAUAAUUCCCAAACUCAGGUUUUGCAUCCUUUAAAGCAAAAUGCUUAGCAAGCAGAAAAAAGAGAUCCCUGUCUGACCUUGCACUGUGCAUGGCUAAUCACUUUAACAGCCGCGGGGAGACGUGGCAAUCCUGUAGAGGUGGGGAAGAGGGCAGUCAUCCCGUUCCACAUAUGUUUUACUCCUGAUGGGUAACCCUACAUACACAGUGCUCGGGGAGAGGGUCAGCAUCGCUUUUGUAACACCAAGCAAGCAAUGUGCCCUUUGCUUCAGCUAUAAACACCUCCCCCUCAAACACUUUCUAUCUUACUGAGUUAGUGCUGCUCCAUCAGGCUGGCAAACCUCCUGUUCCGACUCUCUAAACUGAAAUAAUCUCAUGUCUGAUGGUCUAUUUGUCUUCAGCUUUUGCUGAUUUAAUUCAGUGUAACAAGCUGAGCUGGACUGUGCUUUCCCCAGAUAACCUGAGCACAGAUCACUGCACAUCACUGCAGUAAAACACGGGCCAUGUCGGGUACAGGAUGCUGAUUGUGCACCCCUAUCAUGCCAUUCAUGGUCACAAAG